CAAUAAACGAAGACCUCUCACUUACACAUAAAGAAUAAUACUACUAGACCGUAAUAACAAAUAACAGCUAUCAUAUAACUUUAUAUAUACUAUAUUUCAUGUGGUGCCUAUAAAAAUAUAAUUCCUAAAUUGAUAAAACUGUAAUACUGGAUCAUUUUAUAAAAAUAAUAAACCGUAACUUUGCUUACAUUUCACUUUUCUGGCCACAAAUUUUUGGGUGGUGUCUUUGUGACUUGCUUUAUUUUAAUUAAAAGCUGGGGAACAAUCACUCGUGGAGAUCCUGGCAUGUCAUUUGCUGAUUGGUUACUUCAAUAUCUCUCUGUUUCGCAAUCGAAUCAUGGAAGAUAUUAUUAGCCAAAUAGUCAUAUUCUAUGUAUGUAAUUAGAUUUUGUAGUAACGAGAGGGACACUCCAAGAACACAAAAACAAAAACGAGUUUGGUUUUAAUUUGCUAAACUAUACACUACUUUCAUCUGAUUAUAAAAUAAAUAUUUAUAUACCGCCUUGAUCACGGAACAAGGGCAAUGAUUUGGGCUGCAUGCAUCUUCUGGAGUUUGAUGACUCGUCCUAACUCAAUCUUAAUCAGUCAAUUUAUGGGGUUUGCUGAUGUUCUCUAUCAUCGAUGAAAGAUACGAGGAACUCAUGAUCGUGUUGACAUGGACACAUAAAAAUUGCUUUAAUUUUCAUAAUUUUUUUCGUCUUAAAUUUUGCAUAAAAUUGUAAGAAAUAAAGGUGUUAAAUUGCUACAAACAAUAAAUAGAAAUUAAAUAUGUGAAUAUGUACACAAUAGAACAAAAAUAGAAAAAUCUCAAAUUGAGCCGAGGCAAGUGGCGAAGCUAGAAAUUUAUAACGAUGGGGUCAUAAAACAGAAGCUUCCAAAAACUGAUCAUACUUUUACUUAUAAUUGCCAAUUUAUAAUUUAUUCUGCAAAAAAUUCAUUCCAAAUCAAUCAAUCAAUACAAAAACCCUAAAAAUCCCAAUGAGCUGAAGAUGAGAAAAAUACUAAUAUGAUUGAUUCAGAGAUACAACCAAGUGAGAUGAAGGGUGCCUAACCGAACUUGACCACCGGAGAAACUUUAAUUUAGGAGAUAUGAAGUCUGAGUGGAGAAGGGGUUUGCGUGUUUGAUAAGUGUUCAGCUUGUUUGAGAAAUAGCAUGCUAAACUUUUAUUUUUAUUUUUAAGUGAAACAGAAUACAUAACAGUUUUGGUUUAUGUCAAUCUAAAGAAUAUUUGUUAUAAAUAGGCAAAAUUUAGAGAGAUAACCUUUACUCUGGACAGGAACGAAGCAGUUGCAGAUUAUUAUACCAACACAAGCUGUUGCAGAGGAAGUAAUGUAUAUUAUUGCUAUUAGAUGUUUUUUUCUUCCAAGUCUCAUUUGAUCAAAUGUAGUGCUCUAUUUAUAGAGCAACCUCAUAGGAAACAAACAAAUGACACUAUUAAACUUGUGAGUCUAUACUAUACACAUGUGGUACUUUACUAUACACAUGUGGACAAACAUACCCAUUAUUUACAACACUCCCCCUUGGAUGCCCACAUAUCAACAUCAGUUGCCUCAUUAAAACCUUGCUUGGAAAAACCCAGUGGGAAAAAACCAUAGCGAAGGAAAAAGAGUACAACUUUACCCAGAUGGUGUUGAGCAUGCUUAUGUUGCCUCGUUAAAACCUUGAUAGGAAAAACCUAGUGGGAAAAAUCCUAAGCGAAGGAAAAACAGUACAACAUGCAUGUAUCAUGGAUGCUCCCCUGCAUUCUAUCUCCCCCUGAUUCCACAUUCUUCAAAUUUGUAAGCCGACGUAAUCCGAUUCCCUGCACCAACUUCUGAAAUGUGCACUUUGUUAAAGAUUUGGUGAACAAGUUUGCUAAAUUUUCAUUGGAACAUAUUUGUUUGACUUCAAUAACUUUAGCCUUUUAAAGCUCAUGUGGGCUGAAAAAUCUUGGAGAUAUGUGUUUAGUCUUAUCAUCUUUGAUGAAUCCUUCCUUCAUCUGGGCGACACAAGCUGCAUUAUCUUCAUGGAUGACAGUUGGAAUGUAUGUCUUUGAAGGUAGACCACAUGAAUUCCGGAUGUGAUAGAUCAUUGAUCUUAACCAGGAGCAUUCACGACUUGCUUCAUGUAAAACAAUUAUUUCCGAGUGAUUAGAAGAUGUAGCAACUAGCGUUUGCUUUGUUGAUCGCCAUGAAAUUGCAGUAUCUCCAUUAGUGAACACAUAUCCAUUUUGUGAGUGGGCUCUAUGCGGAUCGGAGAGAAAACCAGCAUCUGCGUAUCUAACAAGGAUCUGUUCAAUUAUGGGCUUGUCUGAGUAGAAGAGACCCAUAUCUGUUAUCUCACGAAGGUAUCGUAGAACAUCUUUAACUCCAUUCCAAUGACGAAUUGUUGGAGCAGAGCUGUACCUGGCUAACAAGUUAACUGAAAAAGCUAUAUCUGGUCUAGUACAUUGUGCUAAAUAUAAUAAAGCACCUAUUGCACUCAAAUAUGGUACUUCUAGACCAAUGACCAGUUCAUCAUCGUCUUUUGGAUGGAAUAGAUCUUUCUUAAUGUCCAAAGAACGAACGACCAUUGGGGUGCUAAGUGGAUAAGCCUUGUCCAUGCCAAAUCGCUUCAGUAUUUUUUCAAUGUAAGCUGAUCGAUGGACCAAAAUUCCAUUAACACAAUGCUCGAUCUGCAGGCCGAGACAAUAUUUGGUUUUUCCAAAAUCUUUCAUUUCAAAUUCGCUUUUCAGAUAGUUAGCAGUUUUGUUGAGCUUUUCAGGGGUUCCAACUAGGUUCAUAUCAUCGACGUAUACUGCCACUAUAGCAAAUCCAGUAUUUGAUUCUUAAUGAACACACAAGGGCAGAUGACAUUGUUGGUAUAUCCUUCUUUAAUCAAAUACUCACUGAGGCGAUUAUACCACAUUCGCCCAGAUUGUUUCAGCCCAUACAGUGAUCGCCUUAAUUUGAUUGAAAGCAUACCUCGUGGUUUAUUAGUUACUUCAGGCAACUUAAGUCCUUCUGGGACUUUCAUAUAUAUGUCAGUAUCUAAUUCUCCAUAUAGAUACGCGGUGAUGACAUCCAUAAGUCGCAUGUCAAGUUUUUCUGAAAUCACCAAACUUAUUAAGUAACGAAACGUAAUUGCGUCUAUUACAGGAGAGUAUGUCUCUUCAUAAUCAAUUCCAGGUCUUUGUGAAAAACCUUGUGCAACGAGUCGUGUUUUAAAUCUUGCAAUCUCGUUUUUCUCGUUGCGUUUCCUUGUGAAUACCCAUUUGUAACCUACGGGGUUCACACCAGGCGGGGUUUGGACUAUUGGUCCAAAAACACUUCGACUUUCCAAGGAAUUUAAUUCUACCUGGAUCACAUCUUUCCACUUAGGCCAAUCUUGUCUCUGUCUGCAUUCAUCAACAGGGCGAGGCUCAAUAUCAUCACUUAAUAUAAAUUCAGUGGCUAUUGCAAAUGCAAACAUGUCGUCGAUGAUUAUUUCAUUUCGAUCCCACAAUUCAUUAGUACAUGCAUAAUUUAUGGAUAUUUCUUUACUUUCAUGUACGUUUGUCUCUUCAGGGACAUGUGUCUCAUCAAGGUCAUUUUCUUUUUCUGGAAGUACAGAAUCAUGAAUUGUGGAUUUAUCAUUCAAUUUCUUUUCUUGAAUGAUAUCAUUUGGGUUCAACUGUGCCCUCAUCUUUCUCUUUCGAGAGGCUGAAUCUUUUGAACCUAGAAGUCUACCACGCUUCAGGCGUGCACUGGAUGAAUCAUUCGCUGCCACUUUAUUUUGUCCAACAGGGACAUCAAUUCUUGCAGGUGUGUUUGCAGCUGGUAUAUGUGACUUUGUCACUUUCGAAGCAUCAUUAAAUGCAUUUGGCAUUUGAUUAGCGAUACCUUGAAGAUGAACGAUCAUUUUCACUUCGUUUUCACAUUGAGUGCUUCGUGGAUCAAAAUGAGAUAAGGUGGGAAUAACCCAUGUCAGUUCUUGCCGUUCUUCUGGAACAGUAUUUUCUCCCCCUAACGACGGGAAAAUUGUCUCAUCAAAAUGACAAUUAGCAAAACGAACUGUAAACAUAUCACCAGUCAAAGGUUCCAAAUAUCUAAUGAUAGAUGGUGAAUCAAAACCCAUAUAGAUUGCCAGUCUUUGUUGAGGUCUCAUUUUAGUUCGUUGUGACGGUGCAAUAGGCACAUAAAUAACACAACAAAAAACUCGUAAAUGUGAAAUAUUUGGCUGAUGUCCAAACACGAGUUGUAUUGAUGAGUAUUGGUGGUUGGCUAUGGGUCUCAGUCGAACCAAUGAUGAUGCAUGUAAGAUGGCAUGUCCCCAUGCAAAGACUGGUAAUUUCGUUUUCAUGAGCAGAGUGCAUGCUAUUAAUUGAAACCGCUUGAUAAAUGCCUCUACUAAACCAUUUUGGGUAUGGACAUGAGGAACAUGAUGUUCAACAUCAAUGCCCAGUGCCAUGCAGUAAUCAUCAAAGGUUUGAGAUGUAAAUUCACCAGCGUUAUCAAGUCGAACGGACUUAAUGGGAUGACCUGGGAACUGUGCUCGCAACUUAAUUAUCUGAGCAAGAAGUCUCGCAAAAGCUACAUUUUGAGUAGACAAUAGGCAAACAUGUGACCAUCGGGUAGAUGCAUCAACCAAAACCAUAAAAUAUUGAAAUGGUCCACAAGGUGAUUGAAUAGGUCCACAAAUAUCCCCUUGAAUUCUUUGCAAAAAUGAUGGAGAUUGAUCAUCAACCUUUAGUUGUGAUGGUCUAAUUACCAACUUCCCUUGGGAACAAGCCUUGCAAGGGUUAUCAUUUGAGACAUCAAUGUGUCUGCUCAAUAAUGGAUGUCCAUUAUAGUUGGUAAUGAUUCUACGCAUCAUGGUAGAUCCUGGAUGACCUAGACGGUCAUGCCAAAACAUGUAAACCUUUGAAUCAAUGAACUUCUGGUUCAUGACAAUAUAUGACUCAACUGUCUUUAUGUAUGUAUAAUAUAAUCCACUCGAUAAACCAUGCAACUUCUCCAAUAUACGCUUCUGGGUAUCAUUUGAGGUAAUGCAUAAAUAUUUCACAUUUUCUACACUUUUCGUUUCACUGUGGUAUCUAUUUAGACGUAUGUCUUUAAAACUCAACAAAUUUCGAAUGGAUCGAGUAGCAUAUAAUGCAUUCUUUAUGGAUAAUAUUGUUCCAUUUGGUAACAUAAUUUGGGUUUUUCCUGAGCCUUCAAUUACAUCUUAUUGCCCUGAUAUUGUUGUUACCUUUACUUUUGCAAGUACCAAAUUCAAGAAAUACUUUCGAUCUCGAAGUAUUGAAUGCGUGGUUGCGCUGUUUGCAAGACAAAAGUCUCCGCCAUUGGUCUUGUUUUGAGAAUAACCGUAAUUUUUAUCCAUGUUCUCUGAGUAAAGAAAAAGCAAUUUAUUCAUACUGGAAUACUACUUUUAUUGAAUUGAAAAUGCGAGCAUUAAACCACAAGUACAAAUAACAAGAGUACAUUAAACAUAAAUAAUUCAAUCGGACCCACAAACUUCAUUCCCUCUUUCAUUAAUAAAGUCUGUAGCAUCCAGGUAGGUUGUGUUUAACUGUCCCGAUAAAUUGGUCACUAGAUCAGGUGUUUCCAUUGGUUGAGCCUGGUCGAAGAAAUUGAUCUCGACACCCUUCUCCUUGAAUGAGGCUUGAUACAAUUCCACCAGAUGCUUUGGGGUGCGACAAGUACGCGCAUAAUGGCCGUUGCCACUACACCUAUGACAACCUCAUUCAGGAUUUCUAGGAGUGUUCAUAUGAGCUUUUCCUUUCUGACGAUUUGCAUUUUUAAAGCUCGGGCUUGGAUUAUGCUUUGGAACCUGGUUGUGAAACUGGACACCAUGGUUAUUACCUUUCCCUUUCCACCGGCCUUGCUUAUGGCCACGUCCUCAUUUGUAAUUAUUGCCACGAGAGGAUAUGGUAUUCAUUUCAAGGGAAGCAACAUUUACUUUUGGGAACGAUGCUGAUCCAGUAGGUCGGGAAUUAUGAUUCUUCAUCAGGAGCUCAUUGUUCUGUUCAGCUACCAGGAGCACAGAUAUCAGCUGGUUGUAUUCAGUGAAGCCUAGCGCUCUAUACUGAUGUUGCAGGAGCAUGUUAGAGGCAUGGAAUGUGCUGAAAGUCUUUUCCAAUAACAUCACCUCAGUAAUAGUAUCCCCACAGAGCUUCAUCUGAAAGGUAAUUCUGAACAACACCGAAUUGUACUCAGCCACUGACUUAAAAUCCUGGAUCCUUAGGUGAGUCCAGUCAUUGCGAGCUCUUGGAAGAAUCACCGUUGUCUGGUGAUUGUAUCUGUUUCUCAAGGCAUUCCAGAGGGCUAACGGAUCUUCAACCGUUAAGUAUUCACUUUUUAAUGCCUCAUCAAGAUGGUGACGAAUAAAAAUCAUAACCUUUGCCGAUCUUGAGAGGAUGAGCUGCUCUCUUCCCUGAUGGUAUCUCCAAGAUUCGCUGCUUCCAGAUGGAUCUUGGUAUCCAGUACCCAUGCAAGGUAAUUCUUUCCAGUAAUGUCCAGGGCAGCAAAAUCAAGCUUUGCCAAGUUUGCCAUUUUCUUUUCUGAAAGAAAAAUGAGGUGUGUAAGAACUUGCAAUAAUAUGUGUUCUGGAGGAAUAUAAUGUUAGAACUUCUGGUUCUUACAAAUUUUUGAUCUUCAAGCCAAAAUGAUAAGUACUCGAAACUUCAGGUUCGAGAUUUACAUGAUUAAUGAGAAGGGCAAUUGUACCGCACAAUUCUCAUCGAAACAAGUAUAGGAUGAGCGAUUAUUUCGCACUACUUUAAACAACAGGAAAAUUUAAAUAUGUAGAGUAAGGUGGACAAUUAUACCGCACCACCUAAAAUUGCGAUAAAAUUUAAAUGGCGAUAAAAUUUAAAUAUGCAAAGCAGGGUGGACGAUUAUACCGUACCACCUAAAAUUGCGAUAAAAUUUAAAUAUGCAAAGCAAGGUGGACAAUUAUACCGCACCACCUAAAAUUGCGAUAAAAUUUAAAUAUGCAAAGCAGUGUGGAUGAUUAUUCCACACCACCUAAAAUUGUGAUAAAAUUUAAAUGUACAGAGUAGGGUGGGUGAUUAUUCCACACCACCUAAAAUUGCAAUAAAAUUAAAUAGCAGGUAAAUUUAAAUAUGCAGGAUAGGGUGGGCGAUUAUACCGCUCCACAUAAAAUUUGCAAUAAAAUUAGAUCUGCAGUCCAAGAUAGGCGAUGAUACCGCACCAUCUUGGAUUGCAUAAAUAAACACUGAGUUAAUAGUCAAGAGUUACACCAAACAAGAAAUCAAAGAUAUAAGUAACUGUUAGGUUGAGAACUAGAAGUAAACAUGGUGCAAAAAGUUCUUCGCGAGGGUAUAUCCAGCAAUUGAGGCAGAGGAAGAAGAAGAACAGAAAAAACCUUAGGCGAAGCAUUUUUUUUUCUUUUGGUGAAGGUAAAUGAGAAAUGAUUAGAGAGUCGUGCUGAUAACGUGUUAUAAAUAGGCAAAAUUUAGAGAGAUAACCUUUACUCUGGACAGGAAUGAAUCAGUUGUAGAUUAUUAUACCAACACAAGCUGUUGCAGAGGAAGUAAUGUAUAUUAUUGUUAUUAGAUGUUUUUUUCUUCCAAGUCUCAUUUGAUCAAAUGUAGUGCUCUAUUUAUAGAGCAACCUCAUAGGAAACAAACAAAUGACACUAUUAAACUUGUGAGUCUAUACUAUACACAUGUGGUACUU
RNAcentral lists this long non-coding RNA (7641 nucleotides) under Malus domestica (apple). Its description in RNAcentral is "long non-coding RNA (MDOM_LNC009643)". Lineage: Eukaryota; Viridiplantae; Streptophyta; Magnoliopsida; Rosales; Rosaceae. The record is from RNAcentral.